GACGAACGCUGGCGGCGUGCUUAACACAUGCAAGUCGAACGGAGAGGCCCUGCUUUUGUGGGGUGCUCGAGUGGCGAACGGGUGAGUAACACGUGAGUAACCUGCCCUUGACUUUGGGAUAACUUCAGGAAACUGGGGCUAAUACCGGAUAGGAGCUCCUGCUGCAUGGUGGGGGUUGGAAAGUUUCGGCGGUUGGGGAUGGACUCGCGGCUUAUCAGCUUGUUGGUGGGGUAGUGGCUUACCAAGGCUUUGACGGGUAGCCGGCCUGAGAGGGUGACCGGCCACAUUGGGACUGAGAUACGGCCCAGACUCCUACGGGAGGCAGCAGUGGGGAAUAUUGCACAAUGGGCGGAAGCCUGAUGCAGCAACGCCGCGUGCGGGAUGACGGCCUUCGGGUGGUAAACCGCUUUCGCCUGUGACGAAGCGUGAGUGACGGUAAUGGGUAAAGAAGCACCGGCUAACUACGU
This 467-nucleotide ribosomal RNA is filed under the name uncultured bacterium. RNAcentral's name for it is "partial 16S ribosomal RNA". It matches the Rfam family "Bacterial small subunit ribosomal RNA", at positions 28 to 506 of the family's 1533-position model. The record is from RNAcentral.